GACGAACGCUGGCGGCGUGCCUAAUACAUGCAAGUAGAACGCUGAAGGAGGAGCUUGCUCUUCUGGAUGAGUUGCGAACGGGUGAGUAACGCGUAGGUAACCUGCCUGGUAGCGGGGGAUAACUAUUGGAAACGAUAGCUAAUACCGCAUAAGAGUAGAUGUUGCAUGACAUUUACUUAAAAGGUGCAAUUGCAUCACUACCAGAUGGACCUGCGUUGUAUUAGCUAGUUGGUGGGGUAACGGCUUACCAAGGCGACGAUACAUAGCCGACCUGAGAGGGGGAGCGGCCACACUGGGACGGAGACACGGCCCAGACUCCUACGGGAGGCAGCAGUAGGGAAUCUUCGGCAAUGGACGGAAGUCUGACCGAGCAACGCCGCGGGAGUGAAGAAGGGUUUCGGAUCGGAAAGCUCUGUUGUAAGAGAAGAACGAGUGUGAGAGUGGAAAGUUCACACUGUGACGGUAGCUUACCAGAAAGGGACGGCUAACUACGUG
Molecule: ribosomal RNA, 495 nt
Filed under: uncultured bacterium
Lineage: Bacteria
Description: partial 16S ribosomal RNA
Rfam family: Bacterial small subunit ribosomal RNA
Source: RNAcentral